GUGUUGUUAUUUAUCUAUGUUUUCAGGCCCCGGUCCUGUAAUUCAGACAGGGACUGUCCUGCAAUAAGAAGGAGAAGUUCUGCACUAAUCGGUUUCAUACGAUUGCCUAUAUUCGGACUUGGGGAAGUUUCAUCCGGCGGAAGAUGUAUGACAAAACAGGAUGCAUUAUGUCAGAUAGGAAGUUUCCUGGGAGGAAGAAGAAACAACUGCAACGUACUGCAAUGCGCAGAAUGCUUAGAUGACCUAGAUUGUGCUUCCUGUUCACAUUGUUAUAACAAUUUUUGCACUACCUGCCGGUCCAGUAACUACUGAUAUAAAUUGAAUUAGACUGUACGAAACACUGAAAGCCUCAAAGUCUGUCCAGUACAGUACUGUCCAGUACAGUACUGUCCAGUACAGUACUGUCCAGUACACAAUUUUUUCAAACCAAACCAAACCAAAUAUUUUGUAAUUUCUAGCGAAAUGUUUGUAGUUUAGAAAUACUUAUGAUAGUUCUAUAUUAAGAACACAAUGCUAAAGUUCUUUAAUAGAAUUUUAACAUUUAAAUCAACCCAACAUAAUAAAAGUACAUUGAAAUAUA
Long non-coding RNA from Eurytemora carolleeae, 580 nucleotides. RefSeq lists it as uncharacterized. The transcript is spliced from 4 exons. The record is from RefSeq and is a predicted model, not a curated record. NCBI's taxonomy places the organism in Eukaryota, Metazoa, Arthropoda, Copepoda, Calanoida, Temoridae.